Long non-coding RNA from Erinaceus europaeus (western European hedgehog), 428 nucleotides. RefSeq lists it as uncharacterized. The transcript has 2 exons. The record is from RefSeq and is a predicted model, not a curated record. NCBI's taxonomy places the organism in Eukaryota, Metazoa, Chordata, Mammalia, Eulipotyphla, Erinaceidae.
CAGACACCUGCAGACCUGCUUCACCGCCUGUGAAGCGACUCCCCUGCAGGUGGGGAGCCGGGGGCUCGAACCAGCAUCCUUCCACCGGUCAUUGCGCUUUGCACCACUUGCACUCUACCUGCUGCACGACCGCCCGACUCCCACAACUUCUUAUUUUUAAAGAGCUCUCUAUGUUCGUGAGAGAGACCAGGACAUUGCUCAGCUCCAGACUGUGGCAGCACUGGGGAGAGGGUAAGACUCAGAGAUGGAGAGAGAUGAGAGACGACAGCAUCGUUCCACCGCCAGUGACCGCACCUCUGCGUGAUGCUUCCACGUGGUUCGAGCCCCAGCAACACAGAGACCAGAGUGAUGAUCCUUUCUCCAGUCUCUCUCAUCAAUAAGUAAAAUACUGUUUAAAUAAAAUUAAAAUAGGGGGUUGGAUGGUGGCA